This 405-nucleotide ribosomal RNA is filed under the name uncultured bacterium. RNAcentral's name for it is "bacterial SSU rRNA". It matches the Rfam family "Bacterial small subunit ribosomal RNA", at positions 354 to 776 of the family's 1533-position model. The record is from RNAcentral.
GUGGGGAAUAUUGCACAAUGGGGGAAACCCUGAUGCAGCGACGCCGCGUGAGUGAAGAAGUAUUUCGGUAUGUAAAGCUCUAUCAGCAGGGAAGAACAUGACGGUACCUGACUAAGAAGCCCCGGCUAACUACGUGCCAGCAGCCGCGGUAAUACGUAGGGGGCAAGCGUUAUCCGGAUUUACUGGGUGUAAAGGGAGCGUAGACGGUGAAGCAAGUCUGAAGUGAAAGCCCGCGGCUUAACUGCGGGACUGCUUUGGAAACUGUUUUACUAGAGUGCUGGAGAGGUAAGUGGAAUUCCUAGUGUAGCGGUGAAAUGCGUAGAUAUUAGGAGGAACACCAGUUGCGAAGGCGGCUCUCUGGACUGUAACUGACACUGAGGCACGAAAGCGUGGGGAGCAAACAGG